UACGAAGGGGGCUAGCGUUGUUCGGAAUUACUGGGCGUAAAGGGCGCGUAGGCGGCUUGCCGAGUCAGGCGUGAAAGCCCCGGGCUCAACCUGGGAGGUGCGCUUGAUACUGGUAGGCUUGAGGGCGGGAGAGGAUGGUGGAAUUCCCAGUGUAGAGGUGAAAUUCGUAGAUAUUGGGAAGAACACCGGUGGCGAAGGCGGCCAUCUGGACCGCCCCUGACGCUGAGGCGCGAAAGCGUGGGGAGCAAACAGG
This 253-nucleotide ribosomal RNA is filed under the name uncultured bacterium. RNAcentral's name for it is "partial 16S ribosomal RNA". It matches the Rfam family "Bacterial small subunit ribosomal RNA", at positions 524 to 776 of the family's 1533-position model. The record is from RNAcentral.